CUGAAGAGGCCAGAAGAGGGCAUCCGGUCCCCUGCAACCCAUGUUAAAUAUAGUUGUGAAGGGUUGAGAACCGAACCUGGCUUCUGUACAAGCACAAGUGCAGCUGACUGCUGAGCCAGCCCUCCAGCCUCUCCGGGGCCUGGUUUGUGUUGAGCCAGGUCUUCCAUACAGUCCAGGCUGGCCUGGAACUCACGUUAUUUUUGAGACGGGGGCCCCAUGAAGCCCAGGCUAGCCUCAAACUUGCAGCAUAGCAGAGGAUGACCUUGGACUUCCGUUCCUCCGCCCCACUUCCUGAGGCCAGAACUGACACCAGGACAGCCCAGCAGUCAAUUGUCUUUGUGCGCUGACCUACGGUGGACACGAAGCCCAGAAGCAGCACAGCCCCCAUGUGCCCUAACCUUCGGCUGUUCUGUCCCCACGCAGCCGUCUAGACCGCUGGCCAGAACCUGGCUGUACGUCCUGCCCUUCACGUCCUCUGUUCAAGAGCCAGACAUCUUGUAGUCUUGUGGAUUCUGCAUGAAGGUGGUCACAUGUCCCACCAUCGUCCAUGAAGCUCUCCCGCCCUCCUGAACCGUGGUGGCACACACAGCAGACCACUGCCUACGGCGGCGGGUGAUCAGACUUUCCUGGCGUGCUACUCUUGAAUGGCGGGCAGAGACGGCCCACUGGGAAGGACGGCACAGCAGCGCUCAUCUGAGAACCGGCUUCUCGGAGGCGGAGAAAAGCGUCUAGAAAAGUGUCUGAGGCUGCGACAGGGGACCUUUCCACAGUUCCUUUCAUUUGUUGUGUAAUACUCACGUAUGCAUGUGUACUUGUACACACAUGGACCACGGCACAUAUGCAGAUGUCAGAAGACAAUUUGUAGAACUCAAUUCUCUUCCUUCAUCGGGUGGCUGGGGAUUAAACUCAGGGCAUCAGGCUCGGCAUCCCACUGGCCUGGAGACCCACCCUCUCCAAAGUCCAAAAGACAUGACGAGUUCCAAAUAAGGCAUUUACAUAGCUGAGGUCCCCUAAUUUGGGGAACUGGCAAAGCACCUAGUAGAAUUUUAGUUUAGAAGAAGCUCUAAAAAUGUUUUUAAUUUGUAUAAAGUGCAGGAAAAAAAAAAGAGAGAGAGAACUAGACAAAGGACUCCAGUGCAGGCGAUGCCCGGAAGGUACGUGUGUGAAGACAGGCAGCGGGGCGGGGCUGCCAUGGGAGGUGAGGCUCCAGGGAGAAACUUGUUUCCUCAAAACUUACUUUGUGUUUCUCCCCAAACUGCACAGUUGAUGGUAACCUUCUCCUACCUCCCUCAGCUGCAGCUCAACUCGAAGGGCUGCGGCUGCCGCUUCCUACCGCUGCCCCACUGAGACAAGGCAGGGGUUAGGUCACUUCAGGAGGCUCUCACAGGCUCCCAUUGUUGCUUCUCAGGGACCCAGAGAGACAAUGGGGCCCAUUCAUGGUGCCCUCAGAACAGCCUGGGAACAGCCCUCAGUGCCCAUUCAACUGAGUUAGGACACUCAACUUUCAUAGACACCAAUUUGCACAAAUACAAGUUAAUUAUUAUA
Apodemus sylvaticus (European woodmouse) is the source of this 1545-nucleotide long non-coding RNA. RefSeq lists it as uncharacterized. NCBI's taxonomy places the organism in Eukaryota, Metazoa, Chordata, Mammalia, Rodentia, Muridae. The transcript is spliced from 4 exons. The record is from RefSeq and is a predicted model, not a curated record.